This 301-nucleotide ribosomal RNA is filed under the name uncultured bacterium. RNAcentral's name for it is "partial 16S ribosomal RNA". It matches the Rfam family "Bacterial small subunit ribosomal RNA", at positions 509 to 808 of the family's 1533-position model. The record is from RNAcentral.
CAGUAGCCGCGGUAAUACGGGGGGGGCAAGUGUUAUUCGGAAUGACUGGGCGUAAAGGGCACGUAGGCGGUGAAAAGGGUGGAAAGUGAAAGUCGCCAAAACACUGGCGGGGUACUUUCUUGACCAUUUCACUUGAGUGAGAUAGGGGAGAGUGGAAUUUCGUGUGGAGGGAUCAAAUCCUAAGAUAUACGAAGGAACGCCAACCGCGAAGGCAGCUCUCUGGGUCCCCACUGACGCUGGGGUGCGAAAGCAUGGGGAGCAAACAGGAUCAGAUACCCCAGUAGUCCCUGUCUCUUAUACA